UGGAAGAGAGAAGGCCCGUGGUUGGACUUAAAUCAAUGUGCUUUGCUUUGGAGGACUAAAUGGAUUGAUUAAGGCAUACACAGGAGUGACUUUAUGCUACGUACUUAUUGGUUCCUCUUUGCUGUAAUGGGGGAAGCUGUGCACUUUGACAACAGAAACUCACAGGUGUUGACGUCAAGAAUAGAAAUGAAGGUCAUUGCUCCUAUCCAGUGGAGAGAGCUUCUUUUCUGUGGAGCUACUGAAGAGUUGGAGGGUGUUUUCUUUACGUCCAGCAGAAAUGAGGAGAAAGUUCACAGCCCCAGUUGUUGUGUGGAUAGAUGCGAUCCCUGCAUCCCUCCAGUCAAUCUCUGCCUGAGAAGUCAGCCGCAGGAAACAAAAUUUAAAAGAACACAUUCAAUAGCUAUAGUGGUGUUAUUUUAAGCUCCCAUAUCAAACAAUGCUCCCUCAGUCAAAAUAGUACAAGUACUAGACUAUUUACCACAAUAAAUAAGGACUGUAUUAGAG
Molecule: long non-coding RNA, 504 nt
Filed under: Gallus gallus (chicken)
Lineage: Eukaryota; Metazoa; Chordata; Aves; Galliformes; Phasianidae
Description: long non-coding RNA NONGGAT004620
Source: RNAcentral